UCAACAGGGGCGGGGUUUGCUCUGUUGCGUCACGCUCACAAGACCACUCCCAAAGUAAUGCGAUAUUAAAUAUUAUUUAUACACUGAUAAUUGUUUAUUUAAUAAAAACAGCUUGGGUUCGGAUGUUAUGGAUUCCUAUAUUUUUAAAUGGAAAAACUAUGAUUAAAAAAAACUAUCAUUCAGUUUGAGGAAGUGCGCGUGAGAGGGGCGGGCCUUGGUGUGACGUUGACAAACCACGCCUACACACGCUUCUGUUUACAGAAGUACAAAAGUGAAUUGAAUGUUUUGACAGGCGAUCAUGUAGUUUAUACCCAUAAAUAGUUUCAUCGGAAAUAUUAUUAUGCCUCGACGGGCUCAAGAAGACACAGAACCCCUGCUUUCAUCCACUCAUAUCGACGAAAACGAUGACCAGGCGUCCAGCAGCAAAGAAACUUUCAUAUGAGGAGGCUGUUGAGAAAGCAGGUUUCGGGGCUCUUCCACUGGCUGCUGUUGGUGGUCUGUGGGUGGGCGAACGCUAGCGAUGCGGUGGAGAUCCUGUGUGUUUCGUUCCCUUUGCCCACGGCACGCUGUGACCU
This is a long non-coding RNA of Cyprinus carpio (common carp), 575 nucleotides long. RefSeq lists it as uncharacterized. The transcript is spliced from 3 exons. Lineage: Eukaryota; Metazoa; Chordata; Actinopteri; Cypriniformes; Cyprinidae. The record is from RefSeq and is a predicted model, not a curated record.